Molecule: ribosomal RNA, 253 nt
Filed under: uncultured bacterium
Lineage: Bacteria
Description: partial 16S ribosomal RNA
Rfam family: Bacterial small subunit ribosomal RNA
Source: RNAcentral
UACGUAGGGGGCGAGCGUUGUCCGGAUUUAUUGGGCGUAAAGAGCGUGUAGGCGGCCAGGUAGGUCCGUUGUGAAAACUCGAGGCUUAACCUCGAGACGUCGACCGAAACCACCUGGCUAGAGUCCGGAAGAGGAGAGUGGAAUUCCUGGUGUAGCGGUGAAAUGCGCAGAUAUCAGGAAGAACACCCGUGGCGAAGGCGGCUCUCUGGGACGGUACUGACGCUGAGACGCGAAAGCGUGGGGAGCGAACAGG